Molecule: small RNA, 66 nt
Filed under: Salmonella enterica
Lineage: Bacteria; Pseudomonadati; Pseudomonadota; Gammaproteobacteria; Enterobacterales; Enterobacteriaceae
Also listed under: 2 other names
Description: partial RtT sRNA
Rfam family: RtT RNA
About the family: This family represents a bacterial cis-regulatory element known as RtT RNA.
Source: RNAcentral
UAUCUCUCCGUACGGGGAAGGAUGAGAAGCUUCGACUAAGGUUCGAUUCGAGCGAAAGCGAGAAAG